This 426-nucleotide ribosomal RNA is filed under the name uncultured Bacillota bacterium. RNAcentral's name for it is "bacterial SSU rRNA". It matches the Rfam family "Bacterial small subunit ribosomal RNA", at positions 479 to 904 of the family's 1533-position model. The record is from RNAcentral. Lineage: Bacteria; Bacillati; Bacillota.
UUAAUGAAUAAGCUCCGGCUAACUACGUGCCAGCAGCCGCGGUAAUACGUAGGGAGCAAGCGUUGUCCGGAUUUACUGGGUGUAAAGGGUGCGUAGGCGGCUUUGCAAGUCAGAUGUGAAAUCUAUGGGCUCAACCCAUAGCCUGCAUUUGAAACUGCAGAGCUUGAGUGAAGUAGAGGCAGGCGGAAUUCCCCGUGUAGCGGUGAAAUGCGUAGAGAUGGGGAGGAACACCAGUGGCGAAGGCGGCCUGCUGGGCUUUAACUGACGCUGAGGCACGAAAGCGUGGGUAGCAAACAGGAUUAGAUACCCUGGUAGUCCACGCUGUAAACGAUGAUUACUAGGUGUGGGGGGUCUGACCCCUUCCGUGCCGGAGUUAACACAAUAAGUAAUCCACCUGGGGAGUACGGCCGCAAGGUUGCAACUCAA